AGGCAGGUCUUGCUGGGGGCAAGCUGGGGAGUUUGAGUUGGGGUGGAAUCAGCCUGAGAACCCGGCUCCUGCCGACCCCCACUCCGCCCCUACCCAGGGAGGUUGACAUUUUUCUUUAACCUCGUAUUAUUUCAUACCAACAACCCAGUGCUUUACGGUGAGACGCAGAGGACCCAGUAAUUCUCAGAUUUAAAGCCAGCUCUUCUUAGGCUCUGGUUUCGUGUCCCCCUGACCCAUUUGAUUUGAUUCCUGCAAUUCUCCCUGUCUGGUGUCUUCCCUCGUUGCUGGUUCUUCCGUAACAGACUACAAGUAUGCUGGCAUCUCUCCCAAAUGAAAGGCAAGACAGAGAACGCCACUGCACCCCACACCUUCCAGCCACCGCAACAUUUCUCUUGCGCUUCAUAGUAAAACUCUGCUACACAGAAGUUUUUGAGUGAUCAAGGCUGGUCCCUGGUCCUGAAGCUAAAUCUUCAGAGAUCACAAAUCCAAUACUGUUCACCGUAAGCUAUCAUCUUAGGGGCUUGCCCGGGAUCUUCAGGAUAAGGUGGCCAGGUGGCUCCUAAGAGAUGUGGCUGUGUCUUGUCUGGCCUGGGAACACCCCGAGGACUGUCCUGCAUAGUCCCAGUACUCAGUGAAUGUUGAAGGAAUAACUGUUUCUUUCAUGAACUAAUAUACAGGAAUAAAAAGCCAC
Molecule: long non-coding RNA, 691 nt
Organism: Bubalus bubalis (water buffalo)
Lineage: Eukaryota; Metazoa; Chordata; Mammalia; Artiodactyla; Bovidae
Exons: 3
Source: RefSeq, a predicted model, not a curated record